CCAUGACUGACGCUGAGAGAUGACAGCUGAGGGAGCGAAUAGGAUUAGAUACCCUAGUAGUCUCAGCCGUAAACGAUGGAUACUAGAUGUUGCCACAAGCAGUGUCGAAGCUAACGCGUUAAGUAUCCCACCUGGGGAGUACGUACGCAAGUAUGAAACUCAAAGGAAUUGACGGGAAUUGACACAAGUGGUGGAUUAUGUGGUUUAAUUUGAUGCAACGCGGAGAACCUUACCAGGGAUUGACAUGGUGAGAAUCUUUCCGAAAGGGAAGAGUGCCCUUUGGGGAACUCACACACAGGUGAUGCAUGGCUGUCGUCAGCUCGUGCCGUGAGGUGUUUGGUUAAGUCCAAUAACGAGCGCAACCCUUGUUCGCUGUUAAAUGUCUGCGAAGACUGCCAGUGUAAACUGGAGGAAGGAAAGGAUGACGUCAAGUCAGCAUGCCCCUUACGUCCUGGCUACACACGUAAUACAAUGGGUGAGACAAUCAGAAGCGAUCUCGCGAGAGCUAGCGAAUCUGUUAAACUCAUCCUCAGUUCGGAUUGUAGGCUGCAACUCGCCUACAUGAAGCCGGAAUCACUAGUAAUCGCCAGUCAGCUAUAUGGCGGUGAAUACGUUCCUCAAUUUUGUACACACCGCCCGUCACACCACGAAAGUAAUGAUUGCCCAAAGUCGUUACCUUAACCUUUUUGGAGGGGGACGCCUACGGCAGUCGUG
RNAcentral lists this ribosomal RNA (714 nucleotides) under uncultured bacterium. RNAcentral's name for it is "bacterial SSU rRNA". It matches the Rfam family "Bacterial small subunit ribosomal RNA", at positions 734 to 1470 of the family's 1533-position model. The record is from RNAcentral.